This 614-nucleotide ribosomal RNA is filed under the name Enterocytozoon bieneusi. RNAcentral describes it as "SSU rRNA". It matches the Rfam family "Microsporidia small subunit ribosomal RNA", at positions 291 to 909 of the family's 1311-position model. The record is from RNAcentral. Lineage: Eukaryota; Fungi; Microsporidia; Enterocytozoonidae.
UUUUGAAACUUGGUUCACUCCUUACGGGGGAGACAGUCAUGAGACGUGAGUAUAAGACCUGAGUGUAAAGACCUUAGGGUGAAGCAAUUGGAGGGCAAGCUUUGGUGCCAGCAGCCGCGGUAACUCCAACUCCAAGAGUGUCUAUGGUGGAUGCUGCAGUUAAAGGGUCCGUAGUCGUGAAUGCAAUUAAAUGUCGUUGUUCAAUAGCGAUGAGUUUGCUAAUGUUUGCGGAACGGAUAGGGAGUGUAGUAUAGACUGGCGAAGAAUGAAAUCUCAAGACCCAGUUUGGACUAACGGAGGCGAAGGCGACACUCUUAGACGUAUCUUAGGAUCAAGGACGAAGGCAGGAGUAUCGAAAGUGAUUAGACACCGCUGUAGUUCCUGCAGUAAACUAUGCCGACAGCCUGUGUGUGAGAAUACGUGGGCGGGAGAAAUCUUAGUGUUCGGGCUCUGGGGAUAGUACGCUCGCAAGGGUGAAACUUAAAGCGAAAUUGACGGAAGGACACUACCAGGAGUGGAUUGUGCUGCUUAAUUUAACUCAACGCGGGAAAACUUACCAGGGUCAAGUCAUUCGUUGAUCGAAUACGUGAGAAUGGCAGGAUGGGUGGCAUGGA